Molecule: ribosomal RNA, 253 nt
Filed under: uncultured bacterium
Lineage: Bacteria
Description: partial 16S ribosomal RNA
Rfam family: Bacterial small subunit ribosomal RNA
Source: RNAcentral
UACGUAGGGGGCAAGCGUUGUUCGGAAUUACUGGGCGUAAAGGGCGCGUAGGCGGCCUGCUAAGUCGAACGUGAAAUCCCCGAGCUCAACUCGGGAACUGCGUCCGAUACUGGCAGGCUUGAAUCCGGGAGAGGGAUGCGGAAUUCCAGGUGUAGCGGUGAAAUGCGUAGAUAUCGGGAGGAACACCUGAGGCGAAGGCGGGCUACUGGGCCGAUACUGACGCUGAUGCGCGAAAGCCAGGGGAGCAAACGGG